RNAcentral lists this ribosomal RNA (746 nucleotides) under uncultured Peptoniphilus sp. RNAcentral describes it as "bacterial SSU rRNA". It matches the Rfam family "Bacterial small subunit ribosomal RNA", at positions 28 to 776 of the family's 1533-position model. The record is from RNAcentral. Lineage: Bacteria; Bacillati; Bacillota; Tissierellia; Tissierellales; Peptoniphilaceae.
GACGAACGCUGGCGGCGCGCCUAACACAUGCAAGUCGAGCGAUGAAAGUUGUUCAGAUCCUUCGGGUGACGAACUUCUGGAUUAGCGGCGAACGGGUGAGUAACGCGUGAGGAACCUGCCUCUCACAACGGGAUAGCCUCGGGAAACCGGGAUUAAUACCGUAUGACACUAUCAGAUGGCAUCAUCAGAUAGUUAAAGUGCUAGCGGUGAGAGAUGGCCUCGCGUCUGAUUAGUUAGUUGGUGGGGUAACGGCCUACCAAGACGACGAUCAGUAACCGGCCUGAGAGGGUGAACGGUCACAUUGGAACUGAGACACGGUCCAAACUCCUACGGGAGGCAGCAGUGGGGAAUCUUGCACAAUGGGGGGAACCCUGAUGCAGCGACGCCGCGUGAGCGAUGAAGGUUUUCGAAUCGUAAAGCUCUGUCCUAUGGGAAGAUAAUGACGGUACCAUAGGAGGAAGCCCCGGCUAACUACGUGCCAGCAGCCGCGGUAAUACGUAGGGGGCGAGCGUUGUCCGGAAUUACUGGGCGUAAAGGGUUCGCAGGCGGCAUGACAAGUCCGAUGUAAAAGGCGAAAGCUCAACUUUCGUAAGCAUCGGAAACUGUCAAGCUUGAGUGAAGGAGAGGCAAGUGGAAUUCCUAGUGUAGCGGUGGAAUGCGUAGAUAUUAGGAGGAAUACCGGUGGCGAAGGCGACUUGCUGGACUUCAACUGACGCUGAGGAACGAAAGCGUGGGUAGCAAACAGG